GAUGAACGCUGGCGGCGUGCCUAAUACAUGCAAGUCGAGCGAAUGGAUUGAGAGCUUGCUCUCAAGAAGUUAGCGGCGGACGGGUGAGUAACACGUGGGUAACCUGCCCAUAAGACUGGGAUAACUCCGGGAAACCGGGGCUAAUACCGGAUAACAUUUUGAACUGCAUGGUUCGAAAUUGAAAGGCGGCUUCGGCUGUCACUUAUGGAGGGACCCGCGUCGCAUUAGCUAGUUGGUGAGGUAACGGCUCACCAAGGCAACGAUGCGUAGCCGACCUGAGAGGGUGAUCGGCCACACUGGGACUGAGACACGGCCCAGACUCCUACGGGAGGCAGCAGUAGGGAAUCUUCCGCAAUGGACGAAAGUCUGACGGAGCAACGCCGCGUGAGUGAUGAAGGCUUUCGGGUCGUAAAACUCUGUUGUUAGGGAAGAACAAGUGCUAGUUAAAUAAGCUGGCACCUUGACGGUACCUAACCAGAAAGCCACGGCUAACUACGUGCCAGCAGCAGCCGCGG
This 515-nucleotide ribosomal RNA is filed under the name uncultured bacterium. RNAcentral's name for it is "partial 16S ribosomal RNA". It matches the Rfam family "Bacterial small subunit ribosomal RNA", at positions 28 to 523 of the family's 1533-position model. The record is from RNAcentral.